CCUCGGGGGAGUAGCCUCUCCUUUCACGUUGGCGGCCAUCAACAUAAUUGCUCCGCAGAGCAUGGUGGUCGCGGUCCCGGCCCAGGGUUCUCCCCUGCCCGCCUCCGGACU
This 111-nucleotide small RNA is filed under the name Ferrimonas balearica. RNAcentral describes it as "Manganese sequence". It matches the Rfam family "Manganese Mn2+ riboswitch aptamer (yybP-ykoY)". Rfam says of the family: This RNA was originally discovered in E. coli during a large scale screen and was named SraF. The family was later found to exist upstream of related families of protein genes in many bacteria, including the the yybP and ykoK genes in B. subtilis. The specific functions of these proteins are unknown, but this structured RNA element may be involved in their genetic regulation as a riboswitch. Lineage: Bacteria; Pseudomonadati; Pseudomonadota; Gammaproteobacteria; Alteromonadales; Ferrimonadaceae. The record is from RNAcentral.